This 1831-nucleotide ribosomal RNA is filed under the name Carchesium polypinum. Its description in RNAcentral is "partial large subunit ribosomal RNA". It matches the Rfam family "Eukaryotic large subunit ribosomal RNA", at positions 34 to 1874 of the family's 3401-position model. Lineage: Eukaryota; Ciliophora; Oligohymenophorea; Sessilida; Vorticellidae. The record is from RNAcentral.
UUAAGCAUAUCAGUAAGCGGAGGAAAAGAAAAUAACAAUGAUUACCUCAGUAGCGGCGAGUGAAGAGGUACAAGCCCAAGAUGUUAAUCCGUAGUAAGGCUAUGGAAUUGUAAUCUAUGGAAUUUCUCAGAAGGUAUUGAUUCGUCAUAAGUUCUUUGGAACAAGACACCAUAGAGGGUGAAAGUCCCGUCUUUGGAUGAGUCAAGCCGUAUGAGGGGUUUCUAAGAGUCGGGUAGUUUGGGAAUGCUGCCCUAAGUGGGAGAUAAACUUCUCCUAAGGCUAAAUAUAAGAUAGGAGACCGAUAGCAUACAAGUACUGCGAAGGAAAGAUGAAAAGAACUUUGAAAAGAGGGUUAAAAGACUUGAAAUCGUUGAAAAGGAAGCAGUAAAAGAGAAAUUAUAGCCUGCAAAUUAAGCUAUUAGCGUAAGCUUAGAGGUGGAGGAAACUUAACAGGUUCCUUGCCGAGAAGUGAAAGCGAAUGGUGUUUUGCAGGUGAAAGACAAAAUGACAUCUUUGCAUAAUAAUAAGGCUGAAAGUGCAUUCUGAAGCUCGAAAUUAUGCAGGGGUGUGAGGGAUUAGCUAAUGAUUUUGUCAAAAUGGCUUUUACUGACCCGUCUUGAAACACGGACCAAGGAGUCUACCCAUUAUGCGAGUGUUAGGGUGGAAAAACCCAAACGCAUACCGAAAGGGAUGUAAGAUGUGAAGCGAAAGCCGCAACAUCAACCAAUCUUGAUUCUUUGAUGAAGGACUUGAGUAAGAGCAUAAUUGGUAGGACCCGAAAGAUGGUGAACUACGGUUGAAUAGGGUGAAGCCAGGGGAAACUCUGGUGGAGGCUCGAAGCGUUACUGACGUGCAAAUCGCUCGUCAAAUUUGACUGUAGGGGCGAAAGACUAAUCGAACCAUCUAGUAGCUGGUUCCCUCUGAAAUUUCUCUCAGGAUAGCAGGAACAGAUUAUGCAGUUUUAUCAGGUAAAGCUAAUGAUUAGUGGACUCGGGGGUCUGAGACUCUCGACCAAUUCUCAAACUUUAAAUUGGUAAGAACUUUCAGUUAUCUUCAUUGAACUGAAGGGAUGAAUGCAUUGUUUCUAGUGGGCCAUUUUUGGUAAGCAGAACUGGCGAUGAGGGAUGAACCUAACGUUGAGAUAAGGUGCCAAAAUUCACGCUCAUGAGACACCAGAAAAGGUGUUGGUUAGUAUAAACAGCCGGACUGUGGCCAUGGAAGUCGGCACCAGCUAAGGAGUGUGUAACAACUCACCAGCCGAAUUAACCAGCCCUGAAAAUUGAUGGCGCUAAGCGUGAUACCGAUACUCAACCAUUAUGGCAAAUAGAAGCUGUAAUGAGUAAGAGGGCGUGAAUACUGUGCAGAAGGCUUGGAUGUGAAUCUGGCUGGAACAGUAUUUAGUGCAGAUCUUGGUGGUAGUAGCAAAUAUUCAAAUGAGAACUUUGAAGACCGAAGUGGAGAAGGGUUCCAUGAGAACAGCAUUUGUUCAUGGGUUACUCGAUCCUAAGACAUAGGGAAAUUCCUUGUAAUAUAUGUAUUCUUACGAAUGCAUUGUCAAAAGGGAAUGAGGUUGAUAUUCCUCAAGCUGGAUGUGGUGGUAACGUGGUAACACAAACAAGCUCGGAAACGCCGGUAUGUGCAACUGGAAGAGUUCUCUUUUCUUCUUAACAAUCUAUCUCCCUGAAUGGAUUAUCCAAAGCAAGGGAUAUAUGGUUGGCAGAGCAGUUCACCAUCGAAUUGUCAGUGAUGCUCAUAACGGCCCUUGAAAAUCUGAGUAAGGUUCUCCAAACACACCAGGUCGUACCCAUAACCGCAUCAGGUCUCCAAGGUU